UUUUGUAGUGGCGCCUGUCCAACCAAAAAUAUCGGAUAACCGUCCCACGGUUUCCCCUUCCCUUAGACAUGCACCUUGCACCUUUUGGGCAGUUAUGCGCAAGAAAAAAAAAAUGACAUAAGUUAACAGCGGCUACUGUCAAGGUAUGGUGAAAAAAAAGGGGAAUGAGAGAACCAAGGGCUCAAGCGGAAGGAGAGUGGCUUGGGCAUGUUCUUUCCAAUUGGACUCGCGAUCCCAGACGGACGUCUGAGGAAAAUACUCAAGUAGUGCAGUGAAAGGAACAAUUCUAACCUCGACCGAAAUUACCGCGUGUCCAUCGUGGCUAAGAUCUAGUCAAAAGAUCAGCCGACCAUUCCUACGUUUAUUAAGCGAAGGCCGAACCCAUCGGGUUUGGCCGUACGUAAUACCGUACGAAACGCCGGUCGUAGUGCCGUAAGCCGUACCCACGACAGUCUCGUCACCUUGCCACACAUAUAAGUAUCCAUCGUACCGAUCGACUACUGUAUGUGUUAGUCUUCUUUCGGCGUGGCGUCUGCAUACAUGUGAGCAUCACUGUAUUUACCGCAGCAUAUACCGGCGUGGGUCCACACACAUACAAGCCUUGCUCGGCCUACCCCAGUGAAAAACGGUCGAUGGGCUUUUUAUCUACGAGUGCAGUGACAUACAUAUGUACAUAUGUGUGAGAUCGACUAUUCCCUCUUCAGUGACUUUCGUCAUUGCUACGUUGCUUACGCCGCCCGCAUACGAACAGUAACGCUCAAGGAGAAGACAAUUACCGGUGCCGUUAUACUGUUUGCGUUGCUGAUGAAGUCAGUCGGUGUCUCGAUCAUGAUGGCUAUGCGCAUGAAUUUCUUCAUAUUAGAAUAAUACUUUGGAACCCCACUAUUGUACUGACCCUAGGAUUAACCUUAAAAGUUAAUUUCGUGUGAUUCGGUUUGUUUGGAUUAUCAUAAAGAAAAGUGCAGUUAGAAGGAAAGGAACUAAAACUAUUACUCGCGCAUAUCGCCUAUCUACUCUGACACACUGAUAUUUACAAGUUUUCAGCCACCCUCAUCGACCACAUGGAAGCGCUUUCAUCGUUGGAUUUGAUCGUACUGUGAGUGAUAACCUGUGAACGUCUGCUAUAUGUGAAUUCAAAAUUUUACGCAAGUCGAAGCAACAUUAAAGAUUCCAUGCCUCGACCGUAAACUUCCCAGCCGUACUGUAACGCUGACCAAUCCAAUGGUUCACGUGUUUGUUUUGUUCUGCUCUUUCGCAAGCAAUGUAACUUUCUGCAAUUCCGAAUCUAUCGACAACCGAACUUAUGAUUGGGAUUACCCCACAAGCAAUUGCUGUGCACUUUAAAGAUGCAUCCAUCCGUCCCUUGUUUUUGCAUUUAAACUGAAAACUAUUCGACUAUAUUUCUAUUUGUGUAACGUAAUUACCAUUAUUACUGAAUAUACUCUUUAUAAUUAGUUGA
Long non-coding RNA from Drosophila pseudoobscura, 1459 nucleotides. RefSeq lists it as uncharacterized. The transcript is spliced from 2 exons. The record is from RefSeq and is a predicted model, not a curated record. Lineage: Eukaryota; Metazoa; Arthropoda; Insecta; Diptera; Drosophilidae.